This 505-nucleotide ribosomal RNA is filed under the name Magelona sp. KM5b. RNAcentral describes it as "partial 16S ribosomal RNA". It matches the Rfam family "Bacterial large subunit ribosomal RNA", at positions 1816 to 2595 of the family's 2925-position model. Lineage: Eukaryota; Metazoa; Annelida; Polychaeta; Spionida; Magelonidae. The record is from RNAcentral.
CGUCUCUUGAAAAAAUAAGAGAUCCUGCCUGCCCAGUGACAAAUAGUUUAACGGCCGCGGUACCCUGACCGUGCAAAGGUAGCAUAAUCACUUGCCCUAUAAUUGAGGGCUUGUAUGAAAGGCAAGACGAGGGCUUUUCUGUCUCCAGAGUAACUAAAAAAUUAUGCUCUAAGUGAAGACACUUAGAUAAUAAUAUUGGACAAGAAGACCCUAUAGAGCUUAACUCUAAAAGAGUAAAAACUUUAUAAAAUUUAUAUCCACCACCUCUUUUCUCAGUUUGGUUGGGGCGACCAAGGAACAUUAAGCUUCCUUCUUCUCUAUGGGUUUCAACCCUUCAACAAUUGAUCCAAUUAUUUUGACCAACGAACCAAGCUACCUUAGGGAUAACAGCGUAAUCUUCUUUAAGAGUUCUCAUCUACAAGAAGGCUUGCGACCUCGAUGUUGGACUAGGGUACCCUAAAGGUGCAGCUGCUUUUAAUGGUGGGUCUGUUCGACCCUUAAUAAC